This is a non-coding RNA of Pelobates cultripes (western spadefoot toad), 250 nucleotides long. Lineage: Eukaryota; Metazoa; Chordata; Amphibia; Anura; Pelobatidae. The record is from the annotation of a GenBank genome assembly.
GAUCAGCCUGGGGGGUUUGGCUUCCUAACAGCCACUGGGGCUAGUUCUACCAGAUCCAUCCCCUGAUUCCUGCAAGCAAACCUUUUCACCAUCUUGUAUGGCACUGUAGGAAAAGUGAUGCCCUGUAGUAUGUAGCAAUUCGAGUGACAUUAAAUAAUCCAGGCAAUUCAUUUAGAUAUCCUUCAUUGAUUCAUGAAUUAAAGGUAUAUGUCAUAGCUGCUGUUGUAGUUAUGGUGCCAGGAGUUCGCUU